CCUACGGGAGGCAGCAGUGGGGAAUAUUGGACAAUGGGCGAAAGCCUGAUCCAGCAAUGCCGCGUGAGUGAUGAAGGCCUUCGGGUCGUAAAGCUCUUUUACCAGGGAUGAUAAUGACAGUACCUGGAGAAUAAGCUCCGGCUAACUCCGUGCCAGCAGCCGCGGUAAUACGGAGGGAGCUAGCGUUGUUCGGAAUUACUGGGCGUAAAGAGUACGUAGGCGGUUAUUCAAGUCAGAGGUGAAAGCCCGGGGCUCAACCCCGGAACUGCCUUUGAAACUAGAUAACUAGAGUCUUGGAGAGGUUAGUGGAAUUCCGAGUGUAGAGGUGAAAUUCGUAGAUAUUCGGAAGAACACCAGUGGCGAAGGCGACUAACUGGACAAGUACUGACGCUGAGGUACGAAAGCGUGGGGAGCAAACAGGAUUAGAUACCCUGGUAGUCCACGCCGUAAACGAUGAUAACUAGUUGUUCGGUCACUUGGUGACUGAGUGACGCAGCUAACGCAUUAAGUUAUCCGCCUGGGGAGUACGGUCGCAAGAUUAAAACCAGAAAGUAAUUGGACGGCGNGAGAGCGACGACGACGACGACGAGGAGAG
Molecule: ribosomal RNA, 595 nt
Filed under: uncultured bacterium
Lineage: Bacteria
Description: bacterial SSU rRNA
Rfam family: Bacterial small subunit ribosomal RNA
Source: RNAcentral